RNAcentral lists this ribosomal RNA (770 nucleotides) under uncultured Mycobacterium sp. RNAcentral's name for it is "bacterial SSU rRNA". It matches the Rfam family "Bacterial small subunit ribosomal RNA", at positions 564 to 1332 of the family's 1533-position model. The record is from RNAcentral. Lineage: Bacteria; Bacillati; Actinomycetota; Actinomycetes; Mycobacteriales; Mycobacteriaceae.
AGAGCUCGUAGGUGGUUUGUCGCGUUGUUCGUGAAAUCUCACGGCUUAACUGUGAGCGUGCGGGCGAUACGGGCAGACUUGAGUACUUCAGGGGAGACUGGAAUUCCUGGUGUAGCGGUGGAAUGCGCAGAUAUCAGGAGGAACACCGGUGGCGAAGGCGGGUCUCUGGGCAGUAACUGACGCUGAGGAGCGAAAGCGUGGGGAGCGAACAGGAUUAGAUACCCUGGUAGUCCACGCCGUAAACGGUGGGUACUAGGUGUGGGUUUCCUUCCUUGGGAUCCGUGCCGUAGCUAACGCAUUAAGUACCCCGCCUGGGGAGUACGGCCGCAAGGCUAAAACUCAAAGAAAUUGACGGGGGCCCGCACAAGCGGCGGAGCAUGUGGAUUAAUUCGAUGCAACGCGAAGAACCUUACCUGGGUUUGACAUGCACAGGACGCCGGCAGAGAUGUCGGUUCCCUUGUGGCCUGUGUGCAGGUGGUGCAUGGCUGUCGUCAGCUCGUGUCGUGAGAUGUUGGGUUAAGUCCCGCAACGAGCGCAACCCUUGUCUCAUGUUGCCAGCGGGUAAUGCCGGGGACUCGUGAGAGACUGCCGGGGUCAACUCGGAGGAAGGUGGGGAUGACGUCAAGUCAUCAUGCCCCUUAUGUCCAGGGCUUCACACAUGCUACAAUGGCCGGUACAAAGGGCUGCGAUGCCGCGAGGUUAAGCGAAUCCUUUUAAAGCCGGUCUCAGUUCGGAUCGGGGUCUGCAACUCGACCCCGUGAAGUCGGAGU